CCCAUAAUGAAUUGUUAAAAUCAUUUGGUGAUAUUUAAUUUGUCGAGCCUAUCAGUGAACAAUGAGAGUGCAUCUUGCAGUUUUUUUGGUUGUUAUGUUGGUGGUAGUGUGUCAGUGCAUACCGUACGAUGACUCCGACCCUACCCUCAGCCAUGGAUAUGGCGACGACGAUUACCACCCGGCCCAGGACCAACAAUUUUUUAUACUGAAAAAGCUCAAACUGCUGGGUCUAGGUUUACUUGGCAAGAAACUUUUUGGUUAAUUUGUGAUACUCAUAGUGUAGAUAUAGGUAGUUAAAUUAUUUUGUACUUAAAGUCGUAAUAAAUUUUUAAUUAAU
This is a long non-coding RNA of Zophobas morio, 337 nucleotides long. RefSeq lists it as uncharacterized. The transcript is spliced from 2 exons. Lineage: Eukaryota; Metazoa; Arthropoda; Insecta; Coleoptera; Tenebrionidae. The record is from RefSeq and is a predicted model, not a curated record.